RNAcentral lists this ribosomal RNA (448 nucleotides) under Lichtheimia corymbifera. RNAcentral's name for it is "eukaryotic LSU rRNA". The stretch from base 18 to 171 matches the Rfam family "5.8S ribosomal RNA". The record is from RNAcentral. Lineage: Eukaryota; Fungi; Mucoromycota; Mucoromycetes; Mucorales; Lichtheimiaceae.
AAAGAGUCUUUAAAAACAACUCUUGGCAAUGGAUCUCUUGGUUCUCGCAUCGAUGAAGAGCGUAGCAAAGUGCGAUAAUUAUUGCGACUUGCAUUCAUAGUGAAUCAUCGAGUUCUUGAACGCAUCUUGCGCCUAGUAGUCAAUCUACUAGGCACAGUUGUUUCAGUAUCUGCAUCCACCAAUCAACUUAACCUUUUGUGUUGAGUUGGAACUGGGCUUCUAGUUGAUGGCAUUUAGUUGCUGUCAUGGCCUUAAAUCAAUGUCCUAGGUGUUAGAACAUCUAACACCGGAUGGAAACUUUAGAGCGCUUUAAGAGCAGCUUGGUUAGUGAGUUCAAUAAUUCCAAGCAUUAAGUCUUUUAAUGAACUAGCUUUUCUAUCUAUGGGACACUACUUGGAGAAAUCCAAGUAACCUUUAAACUCACAUUUAGAUCUGAAAUCAACUGAGA